UAUUUAAAUACAAGUAAGAGAUUUGUAGGAACGUAUAGCUAAAAUACAACACGAUGAAGUGAGCCUGUAUGUUUCUGAUUGUUGCUUUGGUGGCUUUGACAGUAAUAGAGCAGAGUGAUGCAAGCUAUGGACGGCGAUAUCCUACCCCCUGGCCUUUGAGAUGCUGUGUAUGUUUUAGGGCCCCCUGUCCCUGUCUUCCCCUUGACCACCCUAUUUGUAGGUGGCAGGACUGAUAUUGAGCACUAAGGGACACCGGAAUGAAGACAAUAUAGGGGACGUUCUCUAAAAUGAAAUGAUUAAAAACUCUACGAUUUGUUUGUAUUUCUUAAACCCACAAAUGAUUUUUACUAGACAAUAAAUUCCCUAUGCUUAUU
Molecule: long non-coding RNA, 374 nt
Organism: Ostrea edulis (European flat oyster)
Lineage: Eukaryota; Metazoa; Mollusca; Bivalvia; Ostreida; Ostreidae
Exons: 3
Source: RefSeq, a predicted model, not a curated record